Vigna angularis (adzuki bean) is the source of this 444-nucleotide long non-coding RNA. RefSeq lists it as uncharacterized. NCBI's taxonomy places the organism in Eukaryota, Viridiplantae, Streptophyta, Magnoliopsida, Fabales, Fabaceae. The record is from RefSeq and is a predicted model, not a curated record. The transcript has 2 exons.
UGCAUGCUGGCCAGCAAAACUGUGCAGGUUAUGAUUGGUGUAGGUGCGGUGGUGGAAAAUAGUUACAGACCUUUGACUAGGGUGUCAUGGUGGCGUGUUGGAGCUGACGACUUAGAAUUCCGCUAAGGUCAUUCUUCCAAUCGAAAAGGGUGGAUGCUUGGGUUUUGGAAGGACCAUUCCCUCACUUGCCAACAUCACAACAACAUCAGACAUGGUUGAUCUAUCUUUCGCAUCUUCUUGAACACAUAACAGACCAAUCUGUAUGCAUCUCUCAACUUCACUUCCUACGAAGGAUUUUUCCAGCGUUGGAUCCAUCAUUUCCAAACAUUUUCCUUCACACCAUAUUCUCCAAGCCUACAAGUAUUUGUAGUUUGUUAAUACUGUCAAGCAUUAACCAUAAUUGUUGAAUAGUUUCUUGGCCAUAUAUAACUGAGGAGACUUACA